Non-coding RNA from Acanthosepion pharaonis, 111 nucleotides. The record is from the annotation of a GenBank genome assembly. Lineage: Eukaryota; Metazoa; Mollusca; Cephalopoda; Sepiida; Sepiidae.
AUGGCCACGUCAUGUUGAAACACUGGAUUCUGUACAAUCAUCAAAGUUAAGCAACAUUGAGCCUGGUCAGUACAUAGAUAGGUGAGUGCUUGGGAAUACCAGGUGCUGUAA